GUCGCUGUCGAUUAGUGGUUAAAUCAUCGUGUUGUGGCAUUUAUCAAAAGAUCUGCGCAGUCCGCGAAGCCGGGAGCUCGAAUCUCCUCAGUGACA
This is a non-coding RNA of Lentinula aff. lateritia, 96 nucleotides long. The record is from the annotation of a GenBank genome assembly. NCBI's taxonomy places the organism in Eukaryota, Fungi, Basidiomycota, Agaricomycetes, Agaricales, Omphalotaceae.